CCCACAGCAAAAGCUGGUAAGGUCACUUGUAGACUACAAGUUUGAUAGGUCGGGUGUGUAAGCACGGUAACGUGUAGAGCUGACCGAUACUAAUAGACCGAGGGCUUGAACUA
This 113-nucleotide ribosomal RNA is filed under the name Clostridia bacterium. RNAcentral's name for it is "partial 23S ribosomal RNA". It matches the Rfam family "Bacterial large subunit ribosomal RNA", at positions 2813 to 2925 of the family's 2925-position model. The record is from RNAcentral. Lineage: Bacteria; Bacillati; Bacillota; Clostridia.